This 6756-nucleotide long non-coding RNA is filed under the name Daucus carota (carrot). Its description in RNAcentral is "long non-coding RNA (DCAR_LNC001809)". Lineage: Eukaryota; Viridiplantae; Streptophyta; Magnoliopsida; Apiales; Apiaceae. The record is from RNAcentral.
UUUAAAGUCCAGCCACCGUUUUGUAAAAUUUGCCAAAACUCAGCAACCACUAUGUCAUUUACUCUUCAAAUCAUUAUCUAAUCCUGCAACCAGUAGUCCCAAUGAUUCGUAAAACAAAGCAGACAUUCAAAGGAGCUUUAAGAAUGAUAGUGGUCAUCUAAAAGUUUCAUCAUCAAUGUGACUGCAGGGAUGGGGCAAGACAAUUGUAGUGGGAGUGGACAAGCCAGGGGCAAUGUUGAGCUUCACAUCUUUUGAAGUUCUUCAUCAUGGAAAAACCCUCAUGGGUUCGCUAUUUGGAAAUCUGAAGCCUAAAUCCGACAUUCAAAUGCUGCUAAAACGCUACAUGGACAAGGUAAUCUAGUAAAGGAAAGAGCUCUGUCUCAGAUAUUUUUUGUUUCCUCGAGAAUCUGCUUNUGGACAAAUAAUCAAUUUACCGGCGGACAAUAUCCCGUACUUAGAUCGGUUUAUAUGCGACCUUCUCAAUUUAGGGGUCUAUUCAACUAAGAUUUUAAUAAAUUUUAUAUAGUUUAUGAAUUUUAAUAAAUUGUAUCUUAUUUUGAUUGUAUGCGAAUUCUCGAUAAAAUGUCCCAGAGGGGGAGUCUUUAAAAUUUAACCAAAAGGAAAAUGCUUGGAAAUCUUAUUGAUUUGAUUUUAAUGAGUUUUUUUUAUGUCAUGAGAUGAUUUUGGUGAGAUUUCAUAUAUACUAUAGUAUCUUUUGCCCUUAUUAAUUUGUUUUGUUAUUAUUUGACAAAUAAAUUUAAUAAGUAAUAAUAUAUUAAUUUUCAAAUACGUCAAAGUUUAAUAUUUCAAAUGGGAUAAAAAACUUAUGUUAGACACAAUUUUGUAAUACUUAAAUUUAUUAUAUGUCAAUAACAUUAACAUGAAAUUAUACGUCAAACUAAAUAUUAUAAGUCAAACUUGAUAUCAUAUUACACCCUCAUGUCUCCUUGAAGUAAAUUGACUGGAGUUUGAUCUUAAUAAAUUCUAUAUAAUUUAUGAAUUUUAAUUAAUUGUAUCUUAUUUUGAUUGUAUGCGAAUUCUCGAUAAAAUAUCCCAGAGGGGGAGUCUUUAAAAUUUAACCACAAGGAAAAUGCUUGGAAAUCUUAUUGAUUUGAUUUUAAUGAGGUUUUUUUUUUUAUAUCAUGAGAUGAUUUUGGUGAGAUUUCAUAUAUACUAUAGUAUCUUUUGCCCUUAUUAAUUUGUUUUGUUAUUAUUUGACAAAUAAAUUUAAUAAGUAAUAAUAUUUUAAUUUUCAAAUACGUCAAAGUUUAAUAUUUCAAAUGGGAUAAAAAACUUAUGUUAGACAUAAUUUUGUAAUAUUUAAAUUUAUUAUAUGUCAAUAACAUUAACAUUAAAUUAUACGUCAAACUAAAUAUUAUAAGUCACACUUGAUAUCAUAUUACACCCUCAUGUCUCCUUUAAGUUGUCCACUUUGACAUUGAACAGACAAAUUGAUCGGAGUUUGAUUGAAUGUUUUAUCUAUUGUAUAGUUGAAUAUUAAAAAAUUAUAUCAUUGUAAAGUAAAAAUAAUAUAUUUUAGAAUGCAAUUUUCAGUUUCUUAAAAUAAUUAAAGAAUCUUCCAUUAUAUUUUGUCAAUUUGACAAUUGAAUGUUAAAAGUGGACAACUAAAAAAUGGACGGCGAAAGUAAUAAAAUUUUGAAACUAUAGUUAAACUGAACAAAUAAAUAUGGAUGACUAUAUCUAUGUAUGAUGAUAGCAUGAUGAUAGGUAUAUAGACUAAUACAUUUUAUUUUAUUUUUAUUGUUUUAUUUUUUAUUUUUGAAAUUUUAUUUUAUAAAUAUAUAAAGAACCACUUUAAAAGAUAAUUUAUGAUUAUAUUAUUCAUUAUUACUAGGGAUUAAGCAAGCGCUACGUCCUAAAGACCCUGUAUAUUAUUGAUAAAUAAUAUUAUUUUUUUAGAAUUCUGAAUAUUAAAGAUUUAAAAAUGAAAAAGAAGAAGAAGUGAAGUUUUUAAUACAAUAUAGCGAGACAAUUAUAUUGUUAUUAUGAUUUUAUACGAGAGUAUAAUUUAUAAAAGGAUUUGUUGUAUAACGAAGAUAAUACGUUGAAAAAUUUAUUGAGUUGGGACUGCAGUAAAUGUCAUAUCAAGGUACAAGAAGCGUGGACACCGGGCACGAAGUCGUAAUUUUUGCAAUUAAUCAAAAGAUACCUAAAUAUUUUUUUCAAAAAAAAAAAGAAAUACCUAAAUACUUCUUAUCAUUAUUCAUCAAAAGAUUCCCAAAUCGUAGAAGACAAGCUGGGUAUCCAAACUUUCUUAAUGUGAUGCAGAAAACAAACUGACAUUGAUUUUUUUUGAUUUGACAAAAUUGAAACGGUUGAAUAAAAAAUGGAAAUGUUAAGACAAGACGACGAGGGAUUUGAAUUGAUUGAUGUAAAUCGAUAUUCUCGCGAUUUUACAACUAAUUGAUAUGUUGAAAAGAUAUCUGAUUUGUAUUUUUAAGCACUCGUGAUUAGCGAAGAUAAGUCAAUUAUCAUAAAUAAAAGAUACUCAAGAUGUCGCUGCCAUUGAUGCAUGAUACGUGACUUGUAUUUGUCUAUACUAUAUAUAGAGACUCUAGUGUAUCACUAAUAUUGUUCAUUGUAAUAUUUGAGUUUUCUGAUUUCUCCACAUGGAAGAGAGCAAAACAGCUGGUAAACCCAUUCGAUGCAGAGGUAAGCUCUUCAAACUCGCAGUUGAAUGUCACGUAAUAAUUUACGAAACAAGAAUUGUGUUGUUUUUUUUUUUGCCAAUUGAUUCUGACCUCCCGCAAGAGGAUACAAGAAUUGUGUUAUGUAGUUCUCCGUAGAAGUUAACUUAAAUGUUUAUGUAUAUAUGUCGAUUGUAUUGCAGCGGCGGUUGCUCGGAAAGCAGGGGAGCCACUGAGCAUGGAAGAAGUGAUCGUUGCUCCACCGGAAUCCGGUGAAGUCCGCCUUCGAAUUAUUUGCACCUCCUUGUGCUACAGUGACGUCACCUUCUGGAAAAUGAAAGUAAUCUUUGAUUAUUGUAAUUAUUUUUUUUAACUUGCUGUGAAUUUUUAACUCGGCACUAUCUCCUUGCAACUCUCUUUCUCUUAUUUUUUCCCCUGUGUUUAUGGUCAGGAUCCUCCUGCAUAUUUUCCCAGAAUACUUGGUCACGAAUGUUUCGGGUGCGUUUCUUUCGUUCUUUUUACUGUUUUUUACAAGUCAAUUACGCACUUAUAUAUUUUGUCUUUGACGAGUUUUGAAUUUCGCAAAGAGAACCAAAUAGAAAUCCAGGAUAUAUCAUAUCCCUUUGAUGUUUGUUUCUUUAAUUGAUAGUAAAGAAAGCAAGAUAACUCUUCUAUUUUGCUACAUUCUAUUUUGAAGGUUUCACUGACUUGCGCAUGUUAAGUUUAAUGUCUCACAAAAAUAAAAUAGCAUGGCUGAGCUAGUGAGCUUCAAUGUUACAUACAAAAAUGUUAUGACUAUCUAGAUUUCAUAUUUUUGACUAACUUCAGGGUUGUCGAGAGUGUUGGGGAGAAUGUCAGUGAGGUAACUGUAGGGGACACUGUCAUCCCAGUUUUUAUGCCAGAUUGCGGAGAAUGUGGAGAUUGCAUAUCUAGCAAGAGCAACCUUUGCAGCAAAUUCCCUUUUGAAUUUGUUCCAUGGUUGCAUAGAGACCAGAAAAGCAGAUUCACUGACCUUAAUGGAGAAACUUUGCAUCAUUUCUUAUAUAUUUCAAGUUUCAGCGAGUAUACGGUGGUGGAUACUGUUCACAUUGUUAAAGUUGAUACUAGGAUCCCACCAAAUAGAGGAUGCCUCCUCAGCUGCGGAGUAUCCACUGGUAUUCUAUUGUUUUAUUAGUCAGUAGUCACAUGCAUGAGAUAUUCAGUUCCUUCAUAUUUCAAGCAUUCUUAAUUAUUCAUAUUACUGAGUGUGAACCUUGCUAUUACUAAAUCAAAGUUAUCCUUGUAGGGGUAGGUGCUGCCUUGAAAACUGCAAAUGUGGAAGCUGGAUCGACUGUGGCCAUCUUUGGACUCGGUGCUAUAGGAUUGGCUGUAUGAUUCUGCAGUCUGUUCUGAAUUUGUUUAAUUUAAUAAAUGUGAUAUAACAUGGCUCUGGUGUGGAUAAUCAGUUUGGGAUAUGAUGUAUGUCAUAGGUCUCAGAAGGAUCAAGACUUUGUGGAGCUAAACGAAUAAUUGGUGUCGAUGUGAAUGAAGACAAGUAUGAGAUAGGUAAUAAAUUAAUGUGGAACUUUCUUUCCAGUCGAUGUUAAGUGAAAUACAGUGAUCUCUUGGCUGUUAUACUAGAUCAAAGUAAUAGAUUGACCAAUUGUCUAUACAAGCUAUAACUAAUUCAGUCUGGUUGAUAAAUGGAUUCUCAAUAGCUUGUAAAUUGAGUCCCAUUGUUCUCAUGCAGCAAAAAGAUUUGGAGUGACGGAUUUUGUGAACUCUCUCACAUGUGGUGAAAAAUCUGUGAGCCAGGUACACUAAGCCUGUCAACUUGUACAGAGUUUUGUAUAUUCAUUUGACUCUGUUUUAUUACUUUUAAUAUUUGUAUAUUAGCUAUCUUCCAAUACAUACAUCAGACUGCUAACACGGAGAGGGGAAAUGAGAAUUCAUACCUACUUUGGCCAUUAUUCACUUUAAAAUAUUCAUGAACUAUGGUUAUGUUUCUGAGAAUGAUUAUAUACAUAUAUUGUUAGUAAUAAUAAUUCGUCUCUCAUAUCACAUCGGCAGGUGAUUUUAGAGAUGACUGAUGGUGGCGCAGACUAUUGCUUUGAAUGUGUUGGUAUCGCAUCCUUAGUGCAUGAGGCUUUCGCUUGCUGCCGAAAGGUGUCACAAUUUCCUUUGCACUGCUGUAAUUAAUAAUCCGCGUUUAAUAUUGCUCUAAAAACCCUGUGCCUGAUUUUUUUGUCCCAUCCAUCAUCUAUGGUCUUUCUUGAGAUGCAUUAAACUAUUGAGUAGAUCAUGAACUCUAUAUGAAUUAACAUUAAGUAGACGCAAUAAUUAAUAAGGAUAAUUAUAACUUUUAUACGAUGAAAUAUUGUGCUUCCCUAACACAAACAUAUAUUGAUGAGUUUCUUAUUAUACAUUCGCAGGGAUGGGGAAAGACGGUUGUUUUGGGAGUGGAUAAGCCAGGUUCAAACUUGACCUUGUCUUCUGUUGAGGUUGUUCGGUCAGGAAAGACUCUCACAGGAUGCCUGUUUGGAAGCAUUAAACGAAAAUCUGAUGUUCCUAUGCUUGUAAAACGAUAUUUGGACAAGGCAUUUCGAUAUCUAUUAGAUUUAACUAUUCAAGGUUGCUUAUGUUUAUUGAUCAGAACAGAUCAUUUUUAAAAAGCAGUAAAGAAACUAUUUUGUUCUCCUUGGAAUAAGCCCUAUGGUUGAUCUGAAAUUUCAGGAGCUGGAACUGGAUAAGUUUGCGACUCAUGAAGUCAAGUUUGAAGACAUCAACAAGGCNGAGUUACUUGUAGAUGGAAAGAGCGUGCGAUGUAUAAUAUGGAUGGACCAAAACAAAUAGGAGAGUUCCUGCAGCCUUCUGCACUCAGCUGCCAGCUGCAAUAAGUGAAGAAAUUCAAGUGGAGUUACAUUUAUAUGCAAUAUUUCCUCUUUGAGAUCAAUAAAUAUAUCUGGAUUCUGAACAAUUUUAUGAAAUUAUUCGAUUAGAAACCUCCUUGGUCAGUGAUAUUAGUUCAGUUUUAUUUAAUAUUAUUAAUUAUUAAUAAAUUUCUUUGGUUCAUAAAUAUGCGCUUUUAAGUCCUUGAACGAGCUCUGGUUUCUUUUUCCGAUGAUGAUAAUAGCUUUGGUUUUACCUCAUUUUGCUUAGGCAGUCAUACGUAAUAUUCAGCAGACAACUUUGAGAUUUUGCGUCUCUUUGAGCUUUUGCGUUUAAGAUUAUUGACAUGCAAUCUCUGUCAGGUACUGUCAAUAUAGAGGAAAUGGUUUAAAAGUUAAUACUAUGUUAAGAUGAUUAUUUAAAAUUUAGUAAAGAAGUCAAAGUGCACGAUGUGAUUAGCAACUUGUAGCAUGAAGAUCAAUAUAAAUAGAUAGAUGUUUUAUCAUACAGUUGAUUAUGGAGAUGAUUGAGGGUGUUGCCGAUUAUUGCUUCGAAUGUGUUGGUACGGCAUCCUUGUUGCAUGAAGCAUUUGCUUGGUGCAGAAUGGUAUCCUUAAUUCUCCACUUCCUCUCUCAUUUACAAACAGAAAAGCAGUCUAACAUUUUGCAGAUGAAAAACUGGCUCAGUUUCACAGGAAUUAACAUGUUCUAUCUCAAUCUGUCACUUAACUUACAGGGAAAAUUCAUUGUACCUAAAUUCACAUUUGUAGCCUAAUUUUCUUCUGACAUGUGCUUUACUUGAAGUUAUUCGGCCUUGUUUCCAAGUUAAAACUGAUGAUAAAGUACUUAACUCGUGACAAUUUUUUACUAGGGGUGAGCAUUCGGUUCGUUAACCGAAAACCGAACCGAUUAGCCGAAAAAAAUUCUGUUCGGUUAACCAAUAUAAUUAUUUCGGUUCGGUUUUCGGUAGGAAAAUAUCUAAAUUUCGGUUUUUCGGUUUUUUAACCGCGGUUAACCGAUAACCUAAAUUCGGUUCGGUUUUUACAGAGGGUCUUCUGCGAUUGCUUAACUAUAUCUUUCAAAUUAUUAUCUAAUCCUGCAACCAGUUGUCCCGAUGAUCCGUAAAACAAAGCAGACAUUCAAAGUAGCUCUAAAAAAUGAUAGUGGUCAUCUAAAAGUUUCAUCAUCAAUGUGACUGCAGGGAUGGGGAAAGACAAUUGUAGUGGGAGUGGACAAGCCAG